UGGGGAAUAUUGCGCAAUGGGGGAAACCCUGACGCAGCAACGCCGCGUGAAGGAUGAAGGCCUUCGGGUUGUAAACUUUUGUCUUCAGGGACGAUAAUGACGGUACCUGAGGAGGAAGCCACGGCUAACUACGUGCCAGCAGCCGCGGUAAUACGUAGGUGGCAAGCGUUGUCCGGAUUUACUGGGUGUAAAGGGUGCGUAGACGGGAUUGUAAGUCAGAUGUGAAAUACCGAAGCUCAACUUCGGGGCUGCAUUUGAAACUAUGAUUCUUGAGUGCAGGAGAGGUAAGUGGAAUUCCUAGUGUAGCGGUGAAAUGCGUAGAUAUUAGGAGGAACACCAGUGGCGAAGGCGACUUACUGGACUGUAACUGACGUUGAGGCACGAAAGUGUGGGGAGCAAACA
This 402-nucleotide ribosomal RNA is filed under the name uncultured Eubacteriales bacterium. RNAcentral describes it as "uncultured Clostridiales bacterium partial 16S ribosomal RNA". It matches the Rfam family "Bacterial small subunit ribosomal RNA", at positions 355 to 774 of the family's 1533-position model. Lineage: Bacteria; Bacillati; Bacillota; Clostridia; Eubacteriales. The record is from RNAcentral.